RNAcentral lists this ribosomal RNA (253 nucleotides) under uncultured bacterium. RNAcentral describes it as "partial 16S ribosomal RNA". It matches the Rfam family "Bacterial small subunit ribosomal RNA", at positions 524 to 776 of the family's 1533-position model. The record is from RNAcentral.
UACGUAGGGUGCGAGCGUUAAUCGGAAUUACUGGGCGUAAAGCGUGCGCAGGCGGUUUUGUAAGCCAGAUGUGAAAUCCCCGGGCUUAACCUGGGAAUGGCAUUUGGGACUGCAAGGCUCGAGUGCGGCAGAGGAGACUGGAAUUCCUGGUGUAGCGGUGGAAUGCGCAGAUAUCAGGAGGAACACCGAUGGCGAAGGCAGGUCUCUGGGCCGCAACUGACGCUGAGGAGCGAAAGCAUGGGGAGCAAACAGG